This 1425-nucleotide ribosomal RNA is filed under the name uncultured prokaryote. Its description in RNAcentral is "partial 16S ribosomal RNA". It matches the Rfam family "Bacterial small subunit ribosomal RNA". The record is from RNAcentral.
AUGAACGCUGGCGGCGUGCCUAACACAUGCAAGUCGAACGCGAAGCCCGUUUUCGAAUGGGCAGAAAGUGGCGUCCGGGUGCGUAACACGUAGCUGACCUGCCCUGCACCGGGGGAUAACAUACGGAAACGUGUGCUAAUACCCCGUACGCUCCUGGGAACUAGAGCCCCAGGAGGAAAGCUACGGCGGCGAAGGAGGGGGCUGCGGUCCAUCAGCUAGUUGGUGAGGUAAUGGCUCACCAAGGUGACGACGGAUAGGGGACCUGAGAGGGUGACCCCCCACACUGGAACUGACACACGGUCCAGACUCCUACGGGAGGCAGCAGUAAGGAAUAUUGCACAAUGGGCGAAAGCCUGAUGCAGCAACGCCGCGUGCAGGAUGAAGGUUUUCGGAUCGUAAACUGCUUUUCUGCGGGAAGAGAAAGGCGGUACCGCAGGAAUAAGUCCCGGCUAACUACGUGCCAGCAGCCGCGGUAAAACGUAGGGGGCAAACGUUAUCCGGAUUUACUGGGCGUAAAGCGCGUGCAGGCGGUUUUUUAAGUCGUGCGUGAAAGCGCCCCGCUCAAACCGGGCGAGGUCGUGCGAUACUGGGAAACUUGAGACAGACAGAGGCAAGUAGAAUUCCGGGUGUAGUGGUGAAAUGCGUAGAGAUCCGGAGGAAUACCAGUGGCGAAGGCGGCUUGCUGGGUCUGUUCUGACGCUCAGACGCGAAAGCAUGGGUAGCGAACGGGAUUAGAAACCCCGGUAGUCCAUGCCGUAAACGAUGCAGACUAGGCGUUGAUGCACGUUGGUGUGUCAGUGCCGCAGCUAACGCGGUAAGUGUGCCGCCUGGGGACUACGGCCGCAAGGCUAAAACUCAAAGGAAUUGACGGGGGCCCGCACAAGCAGCGGAGCGUGUGGUUUAAUUCGAGUCUACACGAAGAACCUUACCUAGGUUUGACAUAUAAGUGGUAGUGAACUGAAAAGGGAACGACCUUCGGGAGCUUAUACAGGUGCUGCAUGGCUGUCGUCAGCUCGUGUCGUGAGAUGUUCGGUUAAGUCCGGUAACGAGCGCAACCCUCGGCGUUAGUUACAAGUGUCUAGCGCAACUGCCCGGGACAACUGGGAGGAAGGUGGGGAUGACGUCAAGUCAGCAUGGCCUUUAUGUCCAGGGCUACACACACGCUACAAUGGCCGGUACAAUAGGUUGCCAACCCGCGAGGGGGAGCCAAUCCAUCAAAGCCGGUCUCAGUUCGGAUUGUAGGCUGCAACUCGCCUGCAUGAAGUUGGAGUUGCUAGUAAACGCAGGUCAGCUAUACUGCGUUGAAUACGUUCCCGGGCCUUGUACACACCGCCCGUCACGUCAUGGGAGCUGGUCAUGCCUGAAGUCGGUGGGCUAACCGCAAGGAGGCAACCGCCAAAGGCAGGGCUGGUGACUGGGACGAAG